ACGCUAGCUACAGGCUUAACACAUGCAAGUCGAGGGGCAGCAUUUUAGUUUGCUCGCAAACUGAAGAUGGCGACCGGCGCACGGGUGAGUAACACGUAUCCAACCUGCCGAUAACUCCGGGAUAGCCUUUCGAAAGAAAGAUUAAUACCGGAUAGCAUACGAAUAUCGCAUGAUAUUUUUAUUAAAGAAUUUCGGUUAUCGAUGGGGAUGCGUUCCAUUAGUUUGUUGGCGGGGUAACGGCCCACCAAGACUACGAUGGAUAGGGGUUCUGAGAGGAAGGUCCCCCACAUUGGAACUGAGACACGGUCCAAACUCCUACGGGAGGCAGCAGUGAGGAAUAUUGGUCAAUGGGCGCGAGCCUGAACCAGCCAAGUAGCGUGAAGGAUGAAGGCUCUAUGGGUCGUAAACUUCUUUUAUAUGGGAAUAAAGUUUUCCACGUGUGGAAUUUUGUAUGUACCAUAUGAAUAAGGAUCGGCUAACUCCGUGCCAGCAGCCGCGGUAAUACGGAGGAUCCGAGCGUUAUCCGGAUUUAUUGGGUUUAAAGGGAGCGUAGGUGGAUUGUUAAGUCAGUUGUGAAAGUUUGCGGCUCAACCGUAAAAUUGCAGUUGAAACUGGCAGUCUUGAGUACAGUAGAGGUGGGCGGAAUUCGUGGUGUAGCGGUGAAAUGCUUAGAUAUCACGAAGAACUCCGAUUGC
Molecule: ribosomal RNA, 695 nt
Filed under: uncultured organism
Description: SSU rRNA
Rfam family: Bacterial small subunit ribosomal RNA
Source: RNAcentral